AGCGUAGGUGGCCUAACAUGUCAACUGUGAAAACCCGGAGCUCAACUCCGGACUUGCAGUUGAAACUGGUAGGCUUGAGGACGGUAGAGGAAGACGGAACUGCCAGUGUAGGGGUAAAAUCCUUAGAUAUUGGCAGGAACGCCGGUGACGAAGGUGGUUUUCUGGGCCGGUUCUGACACUGAUGCUCGAAAACCAGGGGAGCGAACG
This 207-nucleotide ribosomal RNA is filed under the name uncultured Mesotoga sp. Its description in RNAcentral is "partial 16S ribosomal RNA". It matches the Rfam family "Bacterial small subunit ribosomal RNA", at positions 568 to 774 of the family's 1533-position model. The record is from RNAcentral. Lineage: Bacteria; Thermotogati; Thermotogota; Thermotogae; Kosmotogales; Kosmotogaceae.